AUUGAACGCUGGCGGCAUGCCUUACACAUGCAAGUCGAACGGCAGCACGGAGCUUGCUCUGGUGGCGAGUGGCGAACGGGUGAGUAAUAUAUCGGAACGUACCCAAGAGUGGGGGAUAACGUAGCGAAAGUUACGCUAAUACCGCAUACGAUCUAAGGAUGAAAGCAGGGGAGUCUUCGGACCUUGUGCUCCUGGAGCGGCCGAUAUCUGAUUAGCUAGUUGGUGAGGUAAAGGCUCACCAAGGCAUCGAUCAGUAGCUGGUCUGAGAGGACGACCAGCCACACUGGAACUGAGACACGGUCCAGACUCCUACGGGAGGCAGCAGUGGGGAAUUUUGGACAAUGGGGGCGAACCCUGAUCCAGCAAUGCCGCGUGAGUGAAGAAGG
RNAcentral lists this ribosomal RNA (386 nucleotides) under uncultured bacterium. RNAcentral describes it as "bacterial SSU rRNA". It matches the Rfam family "Bacterial small subunit ribosomal RNA", at positions 30 to 414 of the family's 1533-position model. The record is from RNAcentral.